RNAcentral lists this ribosomal RNA (519 nucleotides) under uncultured eukaryote. RNAcentral's name for it is "SSU rRNA". It matches the Rfam family "Eukaryotic small subunit ribosomal RNA", at positions 1161 to 1704 of the family's 1831-position model. The record is from RNAcentral.
AGGGCACCACCAGGAGUGGAGCCUGCGGCUUAAUUUGACUCAACACGGGGAAACUCACCCGGCCCGGACACCGGAAGGAUUGACAGAUUGAUAGCUCUUUCUUGAUUCGGUGGAUGGUGGUGCAUGGCCGUUCUUAGUUGGUGGAGCGAUCUGUCUGGUUAAUUCCGAUAACGAACGAGACUCUAGCCUAUUAAAUAGACGUCGGGUUCUCUGCACUCGACGGUCUUCUUAGAGGGACAAGGUGCUUUUAGCACCGCGAAACAGAGCAAUAACAGGUCUGUGAUGCCCUUAGAUGUCCGGGGCCGCACGCGCGCUACACUGAAGGAAGCAGCGUGUAACAACCUUGUUCUAACGAACUGGGUAACCCGUGGAACUUCCUUCAUGAUUGGGAUAGGGGUUUGCAAUUGUGCCCCCUGAACGAGGAAUUCCCAGUAAACACUAGUCAUCAGCUAGUGCUGAUUACGUCCCUGCCCUUUGUACACACCGCCCGUCGCUACUACCGAUUGAAUGGUUUAGUGA